RNAcentral lists this ribosomal RNA (253 nucleotides) under uncultured bacterium. RNAcentral describes it as "partial 16S ribosomal RNA". It matches the Rfam family "Bacterial small subunit ribosomal RNA", at positions 524 to 776 of the family's 1533-position model. The record is from RNAcentral.
UACGUAGGGGGCAAGCGUUGUCCGGAAUUAUUGGGCGUAAAGAGCGUGUAGGCGGUCCGGUAAGUCCGCUGUGAAAGUCCAGGGCUCAACCCUGGAAUGCCGGUGGAUACUGCCGGGCUAGAGUCCGGAAGAGGCGAGUGGAAUUCCCAGUGUAGAGGUGAAAUUCGUAGAUAUUGGGAAGAACACCGGUGGCGAAGGCGGCGACCUGGUCCGUGACUGACGCUGAGGCGCGAAAGCGUGGGGAGCAAACAGG